UACGUAGGUGGCAAGCGUUGUCCGGAUUUACUGGGCGUAAAGAGCGCGCAGGCGGUCGUUCAAGUCGCGUGUGAAAGCCCCCGGCUCAACUGGGGAGGGUCACGCGAUACUGAUCGACUCGAAGGCAGGAGAGGGUAGUGGAAUUCCCGGUGUAGUGGUGAAAUGCGUAGAUAUCGGGAGGAACACCUGUGGCGAAAGCGGCUCACUGGACAGCAACUGACGCUGAUGCGCGAAAGCUAGGGGAGCAAACAGG
This 253-nucleotide ribosomal RNA is filed under the name uncultured bacterium. Its description in RNAcentral is "partial 16S ribosomal RNA". It matches the Rfam family "Bacterial small subunit ribosomal RNA", at positions 524 to 776 of the family's 1533-position model. The record is from RNAcentral.